GAUCUGUGUUGUGGGUCUUUUCUCAGGAGCUCUUUGAACCUUUCCCACGUCUCAAAUAGAGACUCCAAUUCUGACUGUACAAAAGACAGAUCUCAUUCCUAAGCUU
Molecule: small nucleolar RNA, 106 nt
Organism: Dioscorea cayenensis subsp. rotundata (Guinea yam)
Lineage: Eukaryota; Viridiplantae; Streptophyta; Magnoliopsida; Dioscoreales; Dioscoreaceae
Source: RefSeq, a predicted model, not a curated record